This 498-nucleotide ribosomal RNA is filed under the name uncultured bacterium. RNAcentral's name for it is "bacterial SSU rRNA". It matches the Rfam family "Bacterial small subunit ribosomal RNA", at positions 28 to 517 of the family's 1533-position model. The record is from RNAcentral.
GACGAACGCUGGCGGCGUGGAUUAGGCAUGCAAGUCGAACGGUAGGAUACCUUCGGGUAUCUGAGAGUGGCGAACGGGUGAGUAACACGUAGGUGAUCUACCCUCAAGAUUGGGACAACCCAGGGAAACUUGGGCUAAUACCGGAUGAAAGCAGCAGUGAUGUUGUUUGAAAGGUGGCGUAAGCUGCCGUUUGGGGAUGAGCCUGCGCUCUAUUAGUUAGUUGGCGGGGUAAAGGCCCACCAAGGCGAUGAUAGAUAGGCGGCCUUAACGGGUGGUCGCCCACACUGGGAUUGAGAUACGGCCCAGACUCCUACGGGAGGCAGCAGUCGAGAAUAGUCUACAAUGGUCGGAAGACUGAUAGUGCGACGCCGCGUGAACGAUGAAUCCCUUCGGGGUGUAAAGUUCUUUUAUAUGUGAGCAGUGCUUCUUAUAUUAACAGUAUGGGGAGAGAGAUAUUAGCAUAUGAAUAAGCAACGGCUAACUCCGUGCCAGCAGCCG